This 81-nucleotide antisense RNA is filed under the name Vibrio chagasii. RNAcentral's name for it is "AsdA". It matches the Rfam family "antisense RNA of dnaA mRNA". The record is from RNAcentral. Lineage: Bacteria; Pseudomonadati; Pseudomonadota; Gammaproteobacteria; Vibrionales; Vibrionaceae.
UUUGGCAUUCGGCUUACCAUCAACAAUGGCAUUACCUACCGCGUGCAACAAGUGAGUUUUACCUAGGCCGGUGCCACCGUA